GAUGUCUAUGCAUUGAAAUUGACUAUUUAAAUCCAGUUGAUUUAAUAAAUGCUGAAAACUGUAAAUGCACUGAGAAUUACAACUCUGGUUUGUCUCGUCAAACGCUAGUUUUGACAUAAAAAAGUUGUUUAGGAAUCGUGACAUGUGACUCCCCUCCAAUUGCGAUUUUUGCUCACUGAACAUACGCCUUAAUGGAUACACUAUCAUUUGUGAAACACCCUGUGAUAAUAAGUCAAAAUUUCCAGAGGUGUUUGAUUUUUGCAGUCUUCAUUUCAUACUACGUGAGAAAAACUUGUAUACAUCUUCACGAAUUUUUUUCCUCGAAUUGAAUAGGAAAAAAUGUAAGUGAAAAAAAAAACAAUAAAUAACAUAAAUAAAGUGAACUUUUCAAAAAAAUAUAAAGAAAAAAUAAAAAAAAUAUUAAGUAGGAAAAAAGAAUUAAAUGGAAUAAAAUCCUAAUAAACAUUUGAAUUAUAAUGAAAUGCAAAAUAAGCAGGCUAUUGAUAAAAGUGAAUGAAUUUUUUUAAGGAAAAUGAAAACAUAGUUUUCACAAAAAAAGUAAACCUCAAAUACUGAGAAAGAAUAGUGACAAGUGAAAUAGAGAAGAAAAUCAAAAUAUAGCUAAAAAGUGAUUGAAAUUACGCCUUAAGUUGUACAAAAUAAAAAACAAAUUGUGUGUAAAAUUAAUCGAGUAACACGUUAGCAAAUGCCAUUUGCUAAAUGAAAUUAAAACAAAUGGCUUGAAUUUCCAACAUAUUUCCAAAACAAACCGAAAAUGGGGGCUUUAUGUGAUUAUUCCAUGAACAAAAAAUCAAUUCUCUUAACAUAAAUAUUACAAUCUAGUAAUUUCCCCCGCCAUCAACAAUUGUCGCGCAAAUCUCUGUCGUUUUAAUUCUAGAUGUAGAUGAGAAAUAAGCUAAGCUGUGUAAACGGUAGACGAAUGACAGACCUACAGACAGACAGACGGCCAUACCAUCAACCUACCUAUGGUUAUUUCAUUUUGUUGAAUGUGAUGGCAGCAUGCUUUGUGUGAAUAUUCAAGCACUUUCUGUCCAAUAUUUAUAUGUUUUUCUCUUUUUAAUAUUUCGUAGAAGCAAAUAAAGAAUAGAAUGGGUAGUGUGCAAUUUUUUUAUGUGUGUUUUUGAUCGAAAGCAAAAGUUUGUAAAACUGGUUACUUUUUCUUCUGUUUGUGUGUGUGUGUCUGCGACGAGUCGCGUUUUCUGCUUCUUUUUCUUGUUUCUAGUUUGACUGGGGGUUGCCAAAUAUUGGCAAAUAUAGUAGAUUUACAGGUAGUUAGAAAGCUCUGCAUAUGAUUAAAUUGUGAGUAGAGGGGACACUGAUUACGAUAAAUUGAGUCGAGUGAUAGUCGAUAUGAACUUCUAAUCGGUAAUUAUAUUUUAAAUAAAUAUUAUUUUAUUAUAAAGGUGGGCUUCUUUAGAAGAUAUAGGAUAUCUAAAUAUGUGGUGUACUUUUGAUUGCCUUGUAGUGAAUACCAAUAAUAUGCAGAAAUAAGAAUAUACAUCAAAAUCAUCGCCGAGAUCCAAAAUUUGUACAGCUUGAAAGAAAAAAAUGUUUUUUUUUUAUCCAUUUUUUAGUUGUGACAAAUAAUGACAUAAUUCCUUCUAUGGUACACCUGCAACAUUCGUGGGCAGGAACCUACAUAGAUUGAUACGGAUAAACAAAACAGCUAUUGAAAGUUUGCAUAGCCGAAUUAAUAAAAGAUGCAAGAAUAUAUAUAGGUAUAGCACAAUUGAAAUAGACAAGCGUGUUUGCAUCACAUCACACCAGCAAAAUACAUACAUAAAUAUUUGUCAUCAAAAGGCAUGCAUGAUGACGGCUGGCGGCCAUGGUUUAGUGCCGGUUGCGCUGCAUCUGUAGUAGCUGACCUGAUCAAUUUAUUGCCGGCCCCAAGAAGAUGAUCACGACAAACGAUAAUACGUUUAUUUGUAUAUUCAUUUUCUUUAUGUGUAAAAUAAUUUUUCUGCUAUUGCUUUUCUUUCUCUCCCCACAUUUGUGAUUUUUAUUAUAAUGUUCUAUUUGAUUAAAAUGUGGACCACUAUCGCCAACUGUAAACAUUUUACUAGUGGGGUAGGCUAGUGUUUAUAGCUAGGUAACAAGCUCGCCGUCUCAUCCGAACAUCAGCGCGUUGAUGAUUGCUAUAAAAAAAAAUUAAUAAUACAAAUUGCAGCUUGUUUACCGUUUGAUUUAAAAUCUGACCGCGCACGCACAUACACACAUCGCGUGUGCGUGCUAUUAUGCUUGGCAAUUGGUGGC
This is a long non-coding RNA of Musca domestica (house fly), 2274 nucleotides long. RefSeq lists it as uncharacterized. Lineage: Eukaryota; Metazoa; Arthropoda; Insecta; Diptera; Muscidae. The record is from RefSeq and is a predicted model, not a curated record. The transcript is spliced from 4 exons.